UUACAAAGUAAUUUUGAGGGAAUUAAUGGUAAAGUCGGUGGAAGGAAUGAGGAAGGACAUUGACUAGCAUCUGUUCCUGGAUUAAAUGGGAUGUUGGAUGAAGCUCAAAUCUCAAGAAGAGGCAAGACAAGACUAAAGAAGGAGCUAAGAGAAAUCACUCCCGAUCCGUUUAUAUUAUGAAGCCUUAGGUAAAUACCACUCCAACACUUUCAGGAUAUAUCACAUUCCUCUCUGCUUUUAUUUUUUUUUUUGUAAAUCAUGUCUAUCUCUACAAUAUUAAAAUUCUCCAGAGCAUUCUGUUUGUUCUAGGGGCAAGAAGGUGGUGGAGAUGCUGUGAGCCUGCCCUGCAUUCUCGUCUGGGCCCCAUAAAAGAGGACGAAUGGAGGGACACCUAGGGGAUGGGCUCGAUUCUGAAGCUGAUGGGUGAGAGAAAGGGCGCUGAAUGGGAAUUCACUUGGGGUACGCAUCACAUCCAAGCGUGCAUUUGGAUAAAGCCUUUACCUCAACAGGCUCUUGUGCCAUCCUUACCAGGUAACAUGCAAAGCAAAAUAAAGCCAAUUCACAGUCAGCCUAUUAUUUCCAUCGAUUUCUGGAACAGUGAAAUGAGAC
RNAcentral lists this long non-coding RNA (609 nucleotides) under Marmota monax (woodchuck). Lineage: Eukaryota; Metazoa; Chordata; Mammalia; Rodentia; Sciuridae. The record is from RNAcentral.